This 486-nucleotide ribosomal RNA is filed under the name Streptococcus parasanguinis. RNAcentral's name for it is "bacterial SSU rRNA". It matches the Rfam family "Bacterial small subunit ribosomal RNA", at positions 28 to 497 of the family's 1533-position model. The record is from RNAcentral. Lineage: Bacteria; Bacillati; Bacillota; Bacilli; Lactobacillales; Streptococcaceae.
GAUGAACGCUGGCGGCGUGCCUAAUACAUGCAAGUAGAACGCUGAAGCUUGGUGCUUGCACCGAGCGGAGGAGUUGCGAACGGGUGAGUAACGCGUAGGUAACCUGCCUCUUAGCGGGGGAUAACUAUUGGAAACGAUAGCUAAUACCGCAUAAAAGUCGACAUUGCAUGAUGUUGACUUGAAAGGUGCAACUGCAUCACUAAGAGAUGGACCUGCGUUGUAUUAGCUAGUUGGUGAGGUAACGGCUCACCAAGCGACGAUUCAUAGCCGACCUGAGAGGGUGAUCGGCCACACUGGGACUGAGACACGGCCCAGACUCCUACGGGAGGCAGCAGUAGGGAAUCUUCGGCAAUGGACGGAAGUCUGACCGAGCAACGCCGCGUGAGUGAAGAAGGUUUUCGGAUCGUAAAGCUCUGUUGUAAGAGAAGAACGAGUGUGAGAGUGGAAAGUUCACACUGUGACGGUAACUUACCAGAAAGGGACGGG